Acinonyx jubatus (cheetah) is the source of this 1633-nucleotide long non-coding RNA. RefSeq lists it as uncharacterized. The transcript is spliced from 4 exons. The record is from RefSeq and is a predicted model, not a curated record. Lineage: Eukaryota; Metazoa; Chordata; Mammalia; Carnivora; Felidae.
AAAGGUGACCUAUACUGGUUGCUUUCACCUUCAGGGAAGACCUAAUACCCCUAUAUCAAAUAGGUUCUGCUGCCUGUAAGAACUUAAAGUUCUGGUUCUUAUUCAAUACGCAUUUAGACAAGCUAAAUCAGGCCCUGUAGAAAAAGUAUGAAAGAACUAAAAGAUGUGGUGCCUUGAAAGGCAGCAGACAGCUGUUCCAUUUCCCCAAAUUUCUAGAGCCAAAAAGAGAGAGAUUGUAAAUAAAAUGACUGGUUCCAGACCACAUCUGAUAGAUGGUGGCAAAGAUCAAGUUGUAAGAGAAAAAAGGAAAUGUCAGAGAGACAGAUAAAUGGGACAUAAAAGAAACAGGUAUUUCGUAAUCACAUCGUCUGGGAGGAGUCUGCCCAGAAUUUACAGCAUCUGUCUUUGGAGGAGAAAGAGAAAUACUUGGUGUUCCCUGGACUGGAUUUGAGUUCCGGUUUGCUGGAGAAAAAGGCACCCCUCCCCCUUUGAAACUUCUGGGACAAAUUCCGAGAGAGGUCGUUGAGUUGAAUCAUCACAAAAGGUGAGAACACUGAGGUCACAGCAGGUUCUUCUGACUCUUCGGUCCCCACAUGUUUGAAGAGAUGGACGAGUCCCUAACAUUUACUGAGUGCUAUGAGCCUGGCCGACAACAACCCAAUGAGGGAUAUUUGGACACAGAACACCAAGUGAAAAUGAAGGCAGAGAUCAGGGUGGUGCAUCUCCAUACAAGCCAAAGAUUGCCCGCAAACCACCAGGAGCUAGGAGAGAGUCAAGGAACGGAUUCUCUUUCACGACACUCAGAAGAGACCAACCCUGCUUUAAUCUUCAAGUUCCAGCCUCCACAACUGUGAGAACACAACGUUCUGUUUGAGGCAUCCAGUCUGUGGUACUUUGUGACAAAAGCCCCAGGAAACAAUACAGUUUGAAGACAGCUCUUUUCCAUGUGAUGAUUCAGAAACUCAGGCGCCUUCCAGCUUGUGGCUGUACUAUCCCCAAGGGUCCAGGACCUCAUCAUUAUUCUUCCCUUCCAGACACAACUGUCCAUUUGCACCCUUCAUCCUGCACAGAGAGCCUACACCCACGUCCUCCUUAAGGAAAAUAACCCAGAGCUCCGUUCAGUCUCUACAACCACUUGAAAUUCUGGGACUCUGGAGAACACAACGUCUCCUCAAUCAGAUCUACAUGUGACUCCUGAUGGUCCAACAAUUAUUAACUAAAAGAUCCAGUUAUUAGCUCCUCCAAUCCACAUCUGCUAUGCCAUGGAGGAACAGGGACUUGAGAACUGCAAUAAAACUCUCAUUCAGAAAACGGGAGAAUGGGAAAGAGUCCUUGGUUAAUAGCACAAUGGAAUCUUGCUAGGUGGGCAGUGUGAAGGCCCUUUGCCAGGUAAGAGGGGAUAAACGCCUUGCUUAGUCCUUUAAUCUGCUCUCUGGGAGGGUUUCAUUUUCUAUUUUUCUCUAAGGCCCCUUGCUCCAUCCUUUUGGAAAUCCUUCCUUGUCCAUUAUCCUUUUGGACCACUUCCGAAGUAGACUCCUGAAAGACUGUACAGCCUUCCUAGCCCACUUUCUUCUCAGGCAAAUCUAGGAACAAAGGGCAAGCUUGACCAAUGAAAGAUGAUUUCAUCCCAGCU